This 125-nucleotide ribosomal RNA is filed under the name Micrococcus luteus. RNAcentral's name for it is "partial 16S ribosomal RNA". It matches the Rfam family "Bacterial small subunit ribosomal RNA", at positions 84 to 208 of the family's 1533-position model. Lineage: Bacteria; Bacillati; Actinomycetota; Actinomycetes; Micrococcales; Micrococcaceae. The record is from RNAcentral.
UGGGUGGAUUAGUGGCGAACGGGUGAGUAACACGUGAGUAACCUGCCCUUAACUCUGGGAUAAGCCUGGGAAACUGGGUCUAAUACCGGAUAGGAGCGUCCACCGCAUGGUGGGUGUUGGAAAAU